AUUGAACGCUGGCGGCAUGCUUUACACAUGCAAGUCGAACGGUAACAGGCCUUCGGGUGCUGACGAGUGGCGAACGGGUGAGUAAUGCAUCGGAACGUACCCAGAGGUGGGGGAUAACGCAGCGAAAGCUGUGCUAAUACCGCAUGUGAUCUGAGGAUGAAAGCGGGUGACCGAGCAGCAAUGUUUGGCCUCGCGCCUUUGGAGCGGCCGAUGUCGGAUUAGCUAGUUGGUGGGGUAAAGGCCUACCAAGGCGACGAUCCGUAGCUGGUCUGAGAGGACGACCAGCCACACUGGGACUGAGACACGGCCCAGACUCCUACGGGAGGCAGCAGUGGGGAAUUUUGGACAAUGGGCGCAAGCCUGAUCCAGCAAUGCCGCGUGCGGGAAGAAGGCCUUCGGGUUGUAAACCGCUUUUGGCAGGAACGAAACGGUGUCCGCUAAUACCGGGCGCUAAUGACGGUACCUGCAGAAUAAGCACCGGCUAACUACGUG
This 492-nucleotide ribosomal RNA is filed under the name uncultured bacterium. RNAcentral's name for it is "partial 16S ribosomal RNA". It matches the Rfam family "Bacterial small subunit ribosomal RNA", at positions 30 to 507 of the family's 1533-position model. The record is from RNAcentral.